Molecule: ribosomal RNA, 440 nt
Filed under: uncultured bacterium
Lineage: Bacteria
Description: partial 16S ribosomal RNA
Rfam family: Bacterial small subunit ribosomal RNA
Source: RNAcentral
CCUACGGGAGGCAGCAGUGGGGAAUAUUGCACAAUGGGGGAAACCCUGAUGCAGCAACGCCGCGUGAGUGAUGACGGCCUUCGGGUUGUAAAGCUCUGUCUUCAGGGACGAGAAUGACGGUACCUGAGGAGGAAGCCACGGCUAACUCCGUGCCAGCAGCCGCGGUAAUACGUAGGUGGCGAGCGUUGUCCGGAUUUACUGGGCGGAAAGGGAGCGUAGGUGGCCUUUUAAGUGAGAUGUGAAAUACUCGGGCUCAACUUGAGUGCUGCAUUUCAAACUGGAAGUCUAGAGUGCAGGAGAGGAGACUGGAAUUCCUAGUGUAGCGGUGACAUGCGUAGAGAUUAGGAAGAACACCAGUGGCGAAGGCGAUUCUCUGGACUGUAACUGACGCUGAGGCUCGAAAGCGUGGGGAGCAAACAGGAUUAGAUACCCUUGUAGUC